CCGCUACAGAAGUUCGAUCAUAGUCUGGUUCCCGUAGAAGUCCGGAUGGGGAUCAUUUGUUGAGGAAGCUCGAUCGAAGCCUGCCUGCAAUAGAAGUUCGGAAAGAAUUCGUUCACAAUAGAAGCUCAGGUGGAGGCUUACAGUAGAAAUCCGACGUGGACCGCUCGUAGUAGAAAUUUGAAGUAGACCGCUUGUAGUGGUAGUUUG
This 207-nucleotide long non-coding RNA is filed under the name Elaeis guineensis (African oil palm). RNAcentral's name for it is "long non-coding RNA (EGUI_LNC023209)". The record is from RNAcentral. Lineage: Eukaryota; Viridiplantae; Streptophyta; Magnoliopsida; Arecales; Arecaceae.